Molecule: ribosomal RNA, 318 nt
Filed under: uncultured Pseudomonadota bacterium
Lineage: Bacteria; Pseudomonadati; Pseudomonadota
Description: bacterial SSU rRNA
Rfam family: Bacterial small subunit ribosomal RNA
Source: RNAcentral
AUUGAACGCUGGCGGUAUGCUUAACACAUGCAAGUCGAACGGUAGCAGGCCUUCGGGCGCUGACGAGUGGCGGACGGGUGAGUAAUGCAUAGGAAUCUGCCAUUAGUGGGGGACAACCCGGCGAAAGCCGGGCUAAUACCGCAUACGAUCUACGGAUGAAAGCAGGGGACCGCAAGGCCUUGCGCUAUCAGAUUAGCCUGCGUCGGAUUAGCUAGUUGGUGAGGUAAAGGCUCACCAAGGCAACGAUCCGUAGCUGGUUUGAGAGAACGACCAGCCACACUGGGACUGAGACACGGCCCAGACUCCUACGGGUGGCAG